Molecule: ribosomal RNA, 775 nt
Filed under: uncultured Neocallimastigales
Lineage: Eukaryota; Fungi; Neocallimastigomycota; Neocallimastigomycetes; Neocallimastigales
Description: partial large subunit ribosomal RNA
Rfam family: Eukaryotic large subunit ribosomal RNA
Source: RNAcentral
UAUGUGAUCGUCUCUCGCAUAUCAAUAAGCGGAGGAAAAGAAACUAACUAAGGAUUCCCCUAGUAACGGCGAGUGAAGCGGGAAGAGCUCAAAUUUGAAAUCUUAAAGGGUUUCCCUUUACGAAUUGUAGUUUAAAGAAGUGUUUUCUGUUGAGGUUUUGGUAAAAGUUCUUUGGAAUAGGACAUCAUAGAGGGUGAGAAUCCCGUAUUUGACCUUUACUUUCAACUUUGUGAUACACUUUCAAAGAGUCGGAUUGUUUGGGAAUGCAGUCCAAAAUGGGUGGUAAAUUUCAUCUAAAGCUAAAUAUUGGCGAGAGACCGAUAGCGAACAAGUACCGUGAGGGAAAGAUGAAAAGAACUUUGAAAAGAGAGUUAAACAGUACGUGAAAUUGUCAAAAGGGAAGCGUUUGACACCAGUGUUGUUUUUCUGAAAAUCAAUUAAAGAACUGUUUAUGCUAAGUUGUUUAGACCUUAUCAGCUAACUGUUUAGUUUUGAGCUUUUCUUUAAUGCACUUUUCAGUUAACAAGUCAACAUCAAUUUCUUUUGCUGUAAAAAAGCUUGAGGAAGGUGGCUUGAGAUUCGUCUUAAGUGUUUAUAGCCUCUUGCCUAUGCAGUCGGAGAGAUUGAGGUCUGCAGCGUAGAUCCUUCGGGGCUAAAUGCAUCUGUGCUAAGUUAUAGCAUUUUAUAGACAACUUGUUGACUAUGAUUUGUCUUGUAGCUUACUCGCUUAUGUUAUUUUACCUACGCUUAGGAUGUUGAGCGCAUGUCUCUCUCU